RNAcentral lists this ribosomal RNA (435 nucleotides) under uncultured bacterium. RNAcentral describes it as "partial 16S ribosomal RNA". It matches the Rfam family "Bacterial small subunit ribosomal RNA", at positions 29 to 507 of the family's 1533-position model. The record is from RNAcentral.
AGCGAACGCUGGCGGCAGGCUUAACACAUGCAAGUCGAGCGGGCACUUUCGGGUGUCAGCGGCGGACGGGUGAGUAACGCGUGGGAACGUGCCCUCUGGUUCGGAAUAACUCAGGGAAACUUGAGCUAAUACCGGAUACGCCCUUUUGGGGAAAGGCCUGCUGCCGGAGGAUCGGCCCGCGUCUGAUUAGCUAGUUGGUGAGGUAACGGCUCACCAAGGCGACGAUCAGUAGCUGGUCUGAGAGGAUGAUCAGCCACACUGGGACUGAGACACGGCCCAGACUCCUACGGGAGGCAGCAGUGGGGAAUAUUGGACAAUGGGCGCAAGCCUGAUCCAGCCAUGCCGCGUGAGUGAUGAAGGCCUUAGGGUUGUAAAGCUCUUUUAUCCGGGACGAUAAUGACGGUACCGGAGGAAUAAGCCCCGGCUAACUUCGUG